RNAcentral lists this ribosomal RNA (381 nucleotides) under Triticum aestivum (bread wheat). Its description in RNAcentral is "partial small subunit ribosomal RNA". Lineage: Eukaryota; Viridiplantae; Streptophyta; Magnoliopsida; Poales; Poaceae. The record is from RNAcentral.
AUGCGCGAUGCUGACGAUGAACCACCCAGGGACGCUCAAGUGCAGGCUUGUGAAUGGCCUUCAAAGGACUUCAUGGAUCAAGCAGGUAUCAAGGAAGAAUUUAACGCAUAUGUGUGUAACGCUGAUCUUGUGAGCUUCGAGGCAGAUAAGUGCCGUCAGUACCACUAUCUCACUGAUUCUUUUGUGAGGAGGUUUGAAUUUUCAUCUUCACGUAAUUCUCAAACUGUCCUGUUUGAUCUUUAUGAAAAUUCUUAUACUAUGAAUUUAGAGGAUUUUAAUACUGCUUGCAAACUUCCACAAUGGGGUAGUCCUAGUGAACCUCGCAAAUCUGAAUUUAGAGAUUUUCUUGCUAGUAUAACUGGGGGGAAUCUAGAGAUAUAG